Molecule: long non-coding RNA, 395 nt
Organism: Spea bombifrons (plains spadefoot toad)
Lineage: Eukaryota; Metazoa; Chordata; Amphibia; Anura; Pelobatidae
Exons: 2
Source: RefSeq, a predicted model, not a curated record
UAUCUUGUACUCAACACAUGUGGCAGCAGUGUUCUGGGAGAGAUGUGUCCCAUGCCCUAAAUAUUAGAGCGUUGUGAGAGACAAUAUUGCGGACUUUUGCUGUCCAGGAAGACCUUAAUUAUAACUUACAUUUUAAGUCUUAUAGUAAUAUAUCAGUAUAUUAGGUUGCUCUACCAUUUGCACCCAUCUUAUCCCCUCCUACAAAAUUCUUUUGAUAAUCAACUUUGUAUUUUUCUUCCUAGACAGGAGAACCAUUUCCAUGAGGUUUCUUCUAAUUUAUUUGACCUUCAGCCAUGAGCAGGGAGCCCAAGUUCUAUCGAACACUUCAACUUUAUUAUAUAUAGAAUCUGUUAAAUAUUCAAUUUGCUUAAUGUAUAAUAAAAUUUCUCUGAUCA